GCGCUAAACUUGCACUCCAGGUACUCUGUCUUAGAUCUGCUUAUUUUGAAACCUUUAGACUCGAGAGUCUGCCUCCAUACCUCUAACCUUUCAAUAACAUCGACCCUUGUCUCAUCUAUCAAUACUAUGUCAUCAACAAAUAGCAUACACCAAGGCUCAACGCCGAUCCUUGAUGGAGCCCCAUAACAACUGGAAAAUGGUCUGAUUCGCCACCCACCGUCCUAACCCUAGUCUUAGCUUACAUGUCCUUGAUUACUCUGAUGUAGGCUUCCGG
Molecule: long non-coding RNA, 274 nt
Filed under: Nicotiana benthamiana
Lineage: Eukaryota; Viridiplantae; Streptophyta; Magnoliopsida; Solanales; Solanaceae
Description: long non-coding RNA (NBEN_LNC028857)
Source: RNAcentral